UUUGACGUUAGCUGCAGAAGAAGCACCGGCUAACUCCGUGCCAGCAGCCGCGGUAAUACGGAGGGUGCGAGCGUUAAUCGGAAUUACUGGGCGUAAAGCGCAUGCAGGUGGUGAGUUAAGUCAGAUGUGAAAGCCCGGGGCUCAACCUCGGAAUUGCAUUUGAAACUGGCUCACUAGAGUACUGUAGAGGGGGUAGAAUUUCAGGUGUAGCGGUGAAAUGCGUAGAGAUCUGAAGGAAUACCAGUGGCGAAGGCGGCCCCCUGGACAGAUACUGACACUCAGAUGCGAAAGCGUGGGGAGCAAACAGGAUUAGAUACCCUGGUAGUCCACGCCGUAAACGAUGUCUACUUGGAGGUUGUGGCCUUGAGCCGUGGCUUUCGGAGCUAACGCGUUAAGUAGACCGCCUGGGGAGUACGGUCGCAAGAUUAAAACUCAAAUGAAUUGACGGGGGCCCGCACAAGCGGUGGAGCAUGUGGUUUAAUUCGAUGCAACGCGAAGAACCUUACCUACUCUUGACAUCCAGAGAACUUAGCAGAGAUGCUUUGGUGCCUUCGGGAACUCUGAGACAGGUGCUGCAUGGCUGUCGUCAGCUCGUGUUGUGAAAUGUUGGGUUAAGUCCCGCAACGAGCGCAACCCUUAUCCUUGUUUGCCAGCACUUCGGGUGGGAACUCCAGGGAGACUGCCGGUGAUAAACCGGAGGAAGGUGGGGACGACGUCAAGUCAUCAUGGCCCUUACGAGUAGGGCUACACACGUGCUACAAUGGCGCAUACAGAGGGCGGCCAACCAGCGAUGGUGAGCGAAUCCCAAAAAGUGCGUCGUAGUCCGGAUUGGAGUCUGCAACUCGACUCCAUGAAGUCGGAAUCGCUAGUAAUCGUAGAUCAGAAUGCUACGGUGAAUACGUUCCCGGGCCUUGUACACACCGCCCGUCACACCAUGGGAGUGGGCUGCAAAAGAAGUGGGUAGUUUAACCUUCGGGAGGACGCUCACCACUUUGUGGUUCAUGACUGGGGUGAAGUCGUAACAAGGUAGCCCUAGGGGAACCUGGGGCUG
Molecule: ribosomal RNA, 1051 nt
Filed under: Vibrio mexicanus
Lineage: Bacteria; Pseudomonadati; Pseudomonadota; Gammaproteobacteria; Vibrionales; Vibrionaceae
Description: bacterial SSU rRNA
Rfam family: Bacterial small subunit ribosomal RNA
Source: RNAcentral